AGUGAUUGUGUUUGUCCCCAUGUGAUUGUCCAGGUCUGGAGAUGAUCCCGGUGAUCAGAUGAAUGAACUCAAGCAGAAGCUGAAGUCGGAGCUCAGGGCGCUACUAGUGGAGCAACACGAUCAAAUCAAGAAGAAGAAAGAACAAAACAACACUGAGCGUUUGACCAAACUCCUGGAAAUGGCCACAGAGAAGCACUGCAGUGAGGUCAAGGCACUCAACAGGUGUGUUUGUCUGUGUGCGUGUGCGUGUGUCUGUGUCUGUGUCUGUGUCUGUGUGUCUGUACUGGUUUAUAUAUCCUGGUGGGGACUUAAACCUGACUACACACAGACUCAUGGGGACUCGUGUCACGGUGGGGACCUAAAUUGUGGUCCCCACGGGUACAAAAGCUUAUAAAUCAUACAGAAUGAAGUUUUUUGAAAAUCUAAAAAUGCAGAAAGUCUCCUGUGAGGGGUAGGUUUAGGGGUAGGGUUGGUGUAGGGCAAUAGAAUAUACGGUCUGUACAGUAUAAAAACC
This 514-nucleotide long non-coding RNA is filed under the name Sinocyclocheilus grahami. RNAcentral describes it as "lncRNA (ENSSGRG00000000195.1)". The record is from RNAcentral. Lineage: Eukaryota; Metazoa; Chordata; Actinopteri; Cypriniformes; Cyprinidae.